GAGGGUAUAUAGUUCUUUUAGCUGGAGAGAAAUAAGGAGCUUACUUAGAGGUGUUCUGCCAGAUGGUGUAAAAGGUGCUGUCGUGGCCCUGGACCAGGCCAACUGAUCUGGAUGGAUUUAUAAGGAGUUGCAACAAGGCUGCUUUUGUGUCAACAGCAACAACAAUGUCCUGGGCCCAUUCCUGAACCAGAUGAUGGCUUCUAGGCGCCAGACUCAACUGUGGCCCUGCCAGCCUUGGCUGGCAGUGUGGGCCAGCUAACGGCUACUGCCAACGCGGGACUUCAGUGUUUAGAGUCCUGCAAGUGCCUUUAGAGUGAAUCUGAGUGCUGCCGGGAAGUCACCUCCGACCCGACAGCCCCACCCUGAAGAGCAUACCCCUCCUAUGUGGGAAUGUGUGGGGAGUGCUCAGAAGAUACAGCUCCCAAUUCCUACCCAGAGUUAAAUCAAAUUAUACUUAUUUGAUAAAUGUGGACAAAUUAACCACU
Molecule: non-coding RNA, 485 nt
Organism: Microcebus murinus (gray mouse lemur)
Lineage: Eukaryota; Metazoa; Chordata; Mammalia; Primates; Cheirogaleidae
Source: RefSeq, a predicted model, not a curated record